CACAGCAACAGGGGCCACAUGCGUCAGGGAUAAGAACCCCUUCCCCUCCCUUGUCCAAGUGUGCGCUCACCAUUGCUCCAUCUCUAAGGGUGCACCCUUCUAUAGAAGUACCUUGCCUUGCUGAGAAUUAAAAAGAAAAUUUUAUAUUCAGGUGCUAUUUCUUUUGCGGCACCAAAACUUUAUAUAUAACACUUUGGGGGCUCACCCGUGAUUACAUUCCCCUCCUGGGACGGUCUCUGGUUCUCUCUCGUGAGGAGGCAUGCGUCCCGCCCCUUGUGGUGGCCUCAGGGGUGAGAAAUCAGAACCCACCCAGUGUGAGGAAUAACCCAGCUCUCAGCAAUGUGGGGGGAAAGAAAAAAAACAAAACUGGCCAGCAGUGUAGCUUAAAGGAUCCUCACAAACUGUAGCGAUGACUCUGUGCACAGCCCAAGGAAGGAGAAGCUGCAGGAGCCGGUAAAGUAUUUCCCUGGUGUUCGGGACCAAGGGACUUAAAUACACAAGGAAAGGGGACUGGGAGAGGAGAGGAAAUGUAUACAAAACUUUGGAAGCUGGAAAUCAGAAGGUGCGUGGCCGUAUGCUUGACUGACCAGGAGAAGCUGGAACCAGGACAUCACUGCUCAGAAAGUCUGUUAGGAUGAGUGGCUGCACCUCUGAUGAGACAAUGGCUGCACAGAAGCAUUUAAGACUCUGCACAGGAUCCAUCAGCCAACUGCACCACAGGCCAUUAUCAGAAGCAAAAUGACAAUUAGUUUUUACAUUAUGGUUUGAGGCCAAGGGCCUAGAUUAUGAAACCCAGGCAAUGAAACCAUGUCCCAUAAUCCAUCUGAGAGAGCCAGAUGGCUUUUUCUUUUAGCUUAGUCAUUUACUGUUCUAUUUACCCAGAAGUAUUUAUAUAGGUGCAGCUGAAGUGUUUGCUGUGGCACAAACUCCUGCUUGGCUGGCUAAGAGAAAAUCAAGGGCUGUACAAUUGUUCAUGACAACUCUAGCUAAUGAGCUUAGAUUAGUUCGUUUGGCUCCAAGAGCAGGAGUAGUGUUGUUUACAACUCCUGCUAAAGUCAGGGACAAAUUUCAAAUUUCAAGCCACUUUUUUUUUUUUUUUUUUUUUUUUUUUUUAGAGACAGGGUCUCCCUGUUGUCUAGGCUGGAGUACAGUGGCGUGAUCAUGGCCCAUGGUAACCUCAAACUCCUAGGUUCUCUCUCUUCCUCCCACCUCAGCCUCCUGAGUAGCUGGGAGUAUAAGUGUUUGCCACUACACCCGGCUAAUUUUAAUUCUUUUUUUUGGUAGAGAUAGGAUCUCACUUUUUUUUUUUUUUUUUCUGAGACAAAGUCUGGCUCUCUUGCCCAGGCUGGAGUGCGGUGGCAUGAUUUCGGCUCACUGCAACCUCCGCCUCCUGAGUUCAAGCAAUUCUCGUGCCUCAGCCUCUUGAGUAGCUGGGAUUACAGGCAUGCACAACCACACCUGACUAAUUUUUGUAUUUUUUAGUAGAGAUGGAGUUUCAGCAAGUUGUCCAGGCUGGUCUUGAACUCCUGACCUCAGGUGAUCUGCCUGCCUCAGCCUCCCAAAGUGCUGGGAUUACAAGCAUGAGCUACUGCGCCCGACCAGGAUCUCACUAUGUUGUUCAGGCUGGUCUUGAAGUCCUCGGCUCAAGCGAUCCUCCUACCUCAGCCUCCCAAAGUGCUGGGAUUACAGGCGUGAGGCACCAUACCCAGCCUCAAACCACUUUUCUAAUUGUAUUAUUCCUAUUAUAGGAAUCACAGCUUGCAGAGUAUACAUGAAGAGGAAAUGAGGUAUUGCUCCUGAAAGUUCCCUCAAAUAAUUUGUGUUUGCUUCAUUUUGAAGGCUUCUGGAUAUCCUUCACAAGGAUAUAGGAUCCAAUAGAAGGAUGAUAGUUUUAAAUAUUUGGAAAUCUCUGACAAUUGCUCUGAAUACACAGAUCAGUGAUCGUGAGGUAGGGAGGUAUACACCUGAUGUCCAUUUAAGGAGUAGUAUCCUUAGUGCAACAUAGACUGAAUUCCCUCGAGAUUAACAAAUCCCUUGAGUGGAAUUAAACAGUUCCUGCAAGGCAGGCUGAAGUAUCUCUGAAGAGAACAAACUGUCAUGAUCAGGAUAGCCCAACAUUAGCGUUUAUUACCUAUUGACUAGACUUUGCUGAUACGAUUGUGAUGAUCUCAGUAGAAACAUUUCAUUGAUAUAAAGUUAAGAUUAAUUUUUUGCAAGAUUAGAGGUUGGGAUUAAUGACUUGAGGAAAACUCCAGCACCAGAAGGGUUCUGUAAAAGGGAAUUUUCAUUCUAAAGUAUUUAAAGGAACAGCUGUUAUAUUUUUGUCCACAGGGUCAGUUAGGGGAUUACAGAUUCAGCAAUCCAUUGGCUUCAGAGCCACAGCUGUGAUCUGGGAAAAACAUAUGAGAGUUUUGCUUUUUAUUAAGGAAUACAAAAAGAUCACAACGGUCAGAAAUAUCAGGAUGGGUCAGGCGCAGUGGCUCAGGCCUGUAAUCCCAGCACUUUGGGAGGCCGAGGUGGGCAGAUCAAAAGCUCAGGAGUUCGAGACCAGCCUGGCCAACAUAGUGAAACCCCGACUCUACUAAUAAUACAAAAAUUAGCUGGGCGUGGUGGCGCGUGAAAAAAAAAUAUUAGGAUGAAAAUAAGAGGCAUUAUAUUAGUGUUCUAGAAGGUGUUGAAGUGGUACAUUAGACAACAUUGUAUUGUUAAGGGAAAUCAGAAAAUUGAUGACGAAUCUGAAAAUGUAUCUUGUUCCUUCAUCUUCAGGAGAAGCUGUCCAUUUUGGAGCUUCAUUAUUUGUUCCAUAAUCUGGGGUCAGUGCUGUCCAUUUCUGAAGUUGACAACUUCUAGAGAAUUCCUAAGAAUCUUCAGUUUAAGGCUUCAGAUGAAAUGGAUGUUUAGUAGUCAGGAGGAAGAGAUGUGUGUUUUUUUUUUUGAGACGGAGCCUCGCUCUGUUGCCCAGGCUGGAGUACAGUGGCUCAAUCUCAGCUCACUGCAACCUCCGCCUCCUGAGCUCAAGCAAUUCUCCUGCCUCAGCCUCCCUAGUAGCUGGGACUACAGGCACGUGCCGCUGCACCUGGCUAAUUUUUGUAUUUUUAGCAGAGACGGGGUUUCACAGUGUUAGCCAGGAUAGUCUGGAUCUCCUGCCCUUGUGAUCUGCCUGCCUCGGCCUCCCAAAGCGCUGGGAUUACAGGUGUGAGCCACUGCACCUGGCCAAGAUGUGAAUCUUUUGAACUGGGAAAUGUGAAUCAGAGGAACAUUACUUUGGCCUUUUACUGCUAUGUUAUUUGUUAAUAGUACCUGGUAAGGUCCUUUCAUUGUGAUUCAAGGGCAGUCUUUCUCUAGGGUCUUUUCCAGGAAGACUAAACCUCCAUGUUGCAGAUUAUAUAGAGGUUGUUCAGAGGGUGGUUUGGAAAUGCACCUUUUGCUUGUUGAUGAAGUAAUUAAUCAUAUCUGCCUGUAGAAAGAUAAUGUGUUGGCUUCCUAGGACUACCAAAACAGAGUUCCACAAACUGGAUGGCUUAAAACAACAGAAUACAGUUCUGGAGGCCGGAAGCCUGAAAUCAGUGUAUUGAAGAGCCACUCUCCCUCUGAAGGCUCUAGGGAAGAAUCCUUCCUCUCCAUAACUUUUGGUGAUUGUUGGCCACACUUGGGUUUCCUUGGCUUGUAGAACCAUCACUCCAAUCUCUGCCUCCAUCACCACAUGGCCUUCUUUCUGCGUGUGUCUCUGUAUCCAAAUUUCUCUCUCUCUCUCUUUUUUUUUUUGAGACAGAGUCUUGCUCUGUCACCCAGGCUGGAGUGCAGUGGUGCGAUCUUGGCUCACUGCAACCUCUGCCUCUCUGGUUCAAGCGAAUCUCGCGCCUCAGCCUCCCUAGUAGCUGGGAUUACGGUCACACAUCACCAUGCCCGGCUAAUUUUUUGUAUUUUUAGUGGAGACGGGGUUUUGCCAUGUUGCCUGGGCUGGUCUCCAACUCUUGAGCUCAGGCAAUCUGCCCGCCUCAGCCUCCCAAAGUGCUAGGAUUACAGGCAUGAGCCACCGCGCCCAGCCCAAAUUUCUCUCUUCUUAAAAAGAUGUAUGUUGGCUGGGCUCAUGCCUGUAAUCCCAUCACUUUGGGAGGCCAAGGUUGGCAGAUAGCUUGAGCCCAAGAGUUUGAGACCAGCCUGGGCAACAUGGCAAAGCCUUGUCUCUACCAAAAAGUACGAAAAUUAGCUGGGCGUGUCAGUGUGCACCUGUAGUCCCAGCUACUUCGGAGGCUGAGGCAGGAGGGUUGCUUGAGCCCAGGAGGCCGAGGCUGCAGUGAGUUGAGAUCACACCACCGCACUCCAGCCUGGGCAACAGAGUAAGACCCUAUCUCAAAAAAAAAAAAAAAAAAAAAAAAAAAAAAGCACGAGGACACCUUGUAAUUGGAUUAGGGCCUACUGUGAUCCAUUGUAACUUAAUCUUGAUUGCAUCUACCAAGAUCCUAUUUCCAAAUAAGGUCAUAUUCACAGGUAUCAGGGGUUAGGACUCGAGCAUAAAUUUUAGGGGAGACAAUUAAGGUAGAAUAUAAGAUUGGGGGUGAAAUUCCCAAAUACAUGGGGCAAUCUGUUAUUAAUUCAUAAAGAGAUAAUCUGUGGGUUUUCAGAGGGGGUUCAUUUUAUAGACAUUAAAUCUAAUGGUCAUACUUCAGGCUAUGGGAAUUAAGAGUUCCUGAGUGCUUUGCUAAUUUUAUUUUAGAAUUCCAUUAGUUCUAUUUUUUCCCUGAGUAUUAUGGAUAAUGCAUUUUUGAGUAAAAGACAAAACUUUACAGAGUAUUAGUAGUACUAAUAAAAAGAAUAGUACUAAUAAAAAGAGAGAUAAGUGGGAAUUUCCCAAGUGGGAAAAACAAAAGCAAGAUUUUUUUUUUUUUCUUAGAGGCGUAGCUCUCUGGCAAGGAGAAGAUUCAACCAGCUCUGAGAAUAAAUAGACAAUAACCAGAACAUAUUCAUAACCCAGUGCAGGAGGCAUUUAUAUAAAGUCCAUCUGGAGUGUUCAAAGGGCCCUUGAGGUUUGGUUUCUGUCCAUGUCUGAUCUUUACAGUUUUGCCAGGAUUGUGUCACUGGAAGGUAGGAGAUGUUUUGGAAACAUCCUCAGCACUAACUCUAAAUUUAGCCCGCUUAUGUUAGUCUAAUAUUGUUGCCAAUUUAUUUCUGCUAUUACUUGUAAUAUCAUGAAGCAUCUUUACUAAAUUCCAUUUUUCAUUUUUUGGCACUACUGGCAGAUCAUUCUGCAAAUGCCAAAUAUUAUCUAUAUGCAAUGAGCAUCCUAAUUUUUUCCAUUUGCUUUUUUCCAAACCAGGAGCUUGUCUCUGACAGUCAAUAAUAGCCUUUUUGAAUUCUCCAAGGCCUCUCUUUUCUGUGUUAUUACAGGAACAAUUAUGUUUGGCUAAUGUUGCCUUUUUUGGCAUAGUGGUCAGCUAAAGCACUACCAUGAGAUUUGGGAUCCUUGCAUUCUAUAAGCAGGGAAGUAACUAUAAUAAAAGUGGAAGGUCAUAAAUUUAGGGCUCAGCCCUAAGUUUCUAUUUUUAAAAAGAAACCGUCCACAAAUAAAAUUACAUCAGAUGGCCGGGUGCGGUGGCUCACGCCUGUAAUCCCAGCACUUUGGGAGGCCGAGGCAGGCGGAUCACCUGAGGUCAGGAGUUCAAGACCAGCCUGGCCAACAUGGCAAAACCCCGUCUCUACUAUAGAUAAAAAAAUUAGCCAGGCAUGGUGGCAGGUGCCUGUAAUCCUAGCUACUGAGGAGGCUGAGGCAGGAAGAAUUGCUUGAACCUGGGAGGUGGAGGUUGCAGUGAGCCGAGACCAUGCCACUUCACUCCAGCCUGGGUGACAGAGUGAGACUCCAUCUCAAAAAAAAAAAAAAAAAAAUUAUGUCAGGGAUAUCUGGGGAAUUGGUAACAAACCUGUAUAAGAUUCAGGUAAAUCUGUAAGACGGACUUAAUUGUGAAGUUCUCCUUCAGGUAAAGGAAGGGGAGUGGCUAGGUUUAGAGUGUUGCAGUGAUAGUGAUGUUUGAAGGUGAAAGCAUAGCGUUUGAUAGGAUGUCAGGCAGCUAGCUGAGAAAUGCUGACUAUUUUCCAUUAAUAAAGGAGUGUGUACAUGAGAAACCAUUAAGUUUCAUGGAGAAACUAGAACUGAGCCACCUGAGGCUUCCAUAAAUAUGCUGGUGCUGCUAUAGUUCUUAGACAAGGUGACUACAUCUUAGCUACUGGAUCUAAUGGGAAGACUGAAAAAAGGGCCUCUGAUGGUUGUCAGGUAAUUGGGUUAGUAUUCCUAGUGUUUAGACUUUUAAUAACAAAAUAGGAAAAGGGUUUAUGAUAAAAAGGUGACCCCAGGUUUGGGGACUGUUGCAGAGACUUUUUUAGGUUUCGGAAGUCUUAUUAUAUGAAUCUUCCUAGAGUAAGAGGUUCAGGAUCUAAGGACUUAAUUCACGGAAAGGGGUAGCAAUGGCAGAAGAGGUUGGCACCCAUCACCCAUAAUAUAUAGUCACCCUAGGAACCCUCAAAGUUGCUUUGUAAUAGUUCGUUUGGGAAAACUGAAUAAUUUGUAAUUUUUAUGCUGCGAGAGAUUUGCCUUCUUUUGAUGGUGUGUGCCCUAAAUAAUGAACAUUUUGUUGUUGCUAUUGUUGUUGUAGCAGAAUUUUAAUUUCUCUUUGAAGGCUUUAUGUCUCUUCUGAAUGAAGGUCUUUAAUAAAUACACCAAAUCAGUCUUAAAGUUUUGCUCAUUUUUUGAACAUAGUAAAAGAUCAUCUACGUAUUAUAUCUACAUAUUAUAUUAGAAUAGACUCACAAGGAAAUCUCAAAUCCUUGCAGUCCCAAUUAAGAACCUGAGAGAAAUAAGAAAGGAUCUUCAGUAAAUCCCUGAGGCAAAACAGUCCAGGUACAGUAUAUUGUUGAUUUUCCCAUGAGAAGGGAAAUAAAUAUUGACUGCCUAGAUCUAAUGGGAUGCUAAAAAACAUAAGCCCAUCACAGUGAAGUGAGUGGCUUCGGGUAGUAUUGAAGACAAAAUAGAAUUUGAAUUAAGGACCACUGGGAAAAGAGGAAUCACGAUCUUAUUUAUGGACCUCUGGUCUUGCAUAAAUCAAUAUCUAUGCCUGUGAGGUCUUUUACAGAGCAACACUGGAGUACUACAAGGGCUGGUGCAAGGAAUAAUGAAUGAGUCCCUGUUUAUAAAAUCUUCCAUCAUGGGCCUUGAUGCUUUCUUAGCUUCGGGCUUUAAAGGGUAUUGAGCAAGAACAGGUAAAGGUUUAGAAAAGUCGGUUUCUGCUUUGAUGGGCUUGGUCCCCAGAAUGCUUCCCUUAUCAGAACUCUUGUCCCAGAGAGAAUCAAGUACCUUACGUAAUUCCUCAUAUAGACAUUGGGUUAAACGUACAAGGACAAACAAAGUGCCAUAUAAAUUGCAUUAUUAAAUGAUUAUGCCUGGGAGAGUUUUUAGGUGCUUUUAGAAAUAGGCCAUCUGAGGAACAUUUGAGUUGACAGUUCCAUUCACACAAAAGAUUCCUCCUGGCCGGGCAUGGUGGUUCACGCCUGUAAUCCCAGCACUUUGGGAGGCCGAGGCAGGUGGAUCAUGAGGUCAGGAGAUCUAGACCAUCCUGGCUAACAGGAUGAAACCCCGUCUCUACUAAAAAUACAAAAAAAUUAGCCGGGUGUGGUGGCAGAUGCCAGUAGUCCCAGCUACUCAGGAGGCUGAGGCAGGAGAAUGGCGUGAACCCGGGAGGCGGAGCUUGCAGUGAGCUUAGAUUGCACCACUGCACUCCAGCCUAGGUGACAGAGCGAGACUCCGUCUCAAAAAAAAAAAAAAAGCAUCCCUCCCAAUGCAAUAUACUUGUGUGGUGUCACAGAGACGAAAUACAUGCUGACUAGUGAAGAGGCCAAGAAUUACAGUUACAGGUUGCGUAAUGGGAAGUGUUUGAGUGCUGUUUUGAAAUUCCAGAAUAGUUUAGUGACUUUAAGGAAGAUGAGUAGGAAUCAUGGUAGAAUUUAUAGUAGACAGAGUAGCACCUGUACCUAUCAGAAAGAUUUGCUUUCUCCCUCUAUUAUUAAAGAUAAUCCUCCUUAAUGAUUUGAAGGAGAAAUUGGGCACUAUAAUAUUGCCCAGAGUCCCUUCAUUAUUCCUAUUUAGAAUAACAGGGAAGGAGCAUUACUUCUGUUUCAUUUUAGUUAAGAUGGGUUACUUUUCCUAGUGCUCUCCCCUUUGUUAAGUGCAGUUGGCCCUCUGUAUCUGUGGAUGACACAUCCAUGGAUGUAACCAACCUCAGAUAAAAAAAUUUGGAAAAAAAUGAAAAACAAUAAUACAAAAAUAAAAAUACAAAUUUAAAGAACAAUGCAGUAUAACAACAUUGUAUUAGGUAUUAUAAGCAAUCUGGACAUGAUUUAAAGUAUAGGGGAGAAUUUGUAUAGGUUAUAUGCAAGUAGUACACCAUUUUAUUUUAGAGACUUGAGCAUCUGUGGAUUUUGGUGUCUGCAGCAGGUCCUGGAACCAGUCCCCUUCGGAUAUCAAGGGAGGAUUGUACAACAGAGUUUUCUUUGGCUGGUGGCAGAUGAGGAGGUCAGAGAGAUUCAAAGCAUGAGAAGGAUUUGGCAUGUCCUUGCUGGCUUUGAAGAUAGAGGGACCACACUCAAGGACCAGAGAGAAGCCACAGUUGCUGACAGUGACCCUUCACCAACAGCCAGCAAGGAAAUGGACCUCAGCCCUGUGGCUGCAUGAAACUGAAUUCUGCCAGCAACCCCCAAAGAACUUGGAAGUGUGUUCUUUCCCACAGCACCCAGAUGAGAGCCCAGCCAAGCUGACACCCUGAUUUCAGCCCCUGAGUAGAGAAUCCAGUAGAGUCUGCCUGAACUUCUGACCCAUAGAAAUGUGAGAUAAUAAAAGGGUGUUGUUUUAAACCAUUAAAUUUCUAGUAAUUCAUCACAAAGCAAUAGAAAACUAAUACACUCCAUUAAGGUGUCAGCUAGUAAUUCCUCAAGUGCUUUUUAUUAGGAGCUCUGGAGGUAGACAAACUUAAACAUGCAAAUGUAUGAAUCUCUAUUUUAAGCACCUGGUUGAAGAGGAAGAUAUUUUGGGUUAAGAGGUAUGUCUGGCAUCUUAUUUUCAUUUAUUUAUUUAUUUAGAGAUGGAGUCUCACUCUGUCACCCAGGCUGGGGUGCAGUGGUAUGAUCUCGGCUCACUGCAACCUCCGCCUCCCAUAUUCAAGCGAUUCUCCUGCCUCAGCUUAUUGAAUAGCUGGGAUUACAGGCAUGUGCCACCACACCCAGC
Molecule: long non-coding RNA, 9268 nt
Filed under: Homo sapiens (human)
Lineage: Eukaryota; Metazoa; Chordata; Mammalia; Primates; Hominidae
Description: HSALNT0036370
Source: RNAcentral